This 253-nucleotide ribosomal RNA is filed under the name uncultured bacterium. Its description in RNAcentral is "partial 16S ribosomal RNA". It matches the Rfam family "Bacterial small subunit ribosomal RNA", at positions 524 to 776 of the family's 1533-position model. The record is from RNAcentral.
UACGUAGGGUGCGAGCGUUGCCCGGAUUUAUUGGGCGUAAAGGGCGCGUAGGCGGCUCGGCACGUCCGUUGUGAAAUCGCCCGGCUCAACUGGGCGGGGUCGGCGGAUACGGCCAAGCUGGAGCAAGCUAGGGGGUAAUGGAAUUCCCGGUGUAGUGGUGGAAUGCGUAGAUAUCGGGAGGAACACCAGUGGCGAAGGCGGUUACCUGGAGCUUUGCUGACGCUGAUGCGCGAAAGCGUGGGGAGCGAUCCGG